UUCCUAUAUUUUCUAUUUUAGUAAAAAAUAUUUCAGUAAAUAGCAGUAUCGUGGAUAGGGAACUAUACUAGCGACCUACCUAAUUUUAUUGUAGAAAUUUUCAGGAUCAAUGAUUGGAC
Molecule: microRNA precursor, 119 nt
Filed under: Hevea brasiliensis (rubber tree)
Lineage: Eukaryota; Viridiplantae; Streptophyta; Magnoliopsida; Malpighiales; Euphorbiaceae
Description: miR6483 stem-loop (hbr-MIR6483)
Source: miRBase by way of RNAcentral